Peromyscus eremicus (cactus mouse) is the source of this 424-nucleotide long non-coding RNA. RefSeq lists it as uncharacterized. Lineage: Eukaryota; Metazoa; Chordata; Mammalia; Rodentia; Cricetidae. The transcript has 3 exons. The record is from RefSeq and is a predicted model, not a curated record.
AGUUGCUUAAAUGUGCGAGGAAGGCCAUUCCGUAGCGCAUGGAACACAGACUCGGGACUGGAAGGAGGACACGACAUCAUGGCUGGCUUUCCUGAGCUAGCGUUAAUUUUUCACAAGGAGAACAUUGAGGUUUGACGAGAGAGGUACAGAAACCGUCAGCUGUCACUCAGGAAGGACCAGGCAGCCCUUUGGCUGCACAGUGGAGGGCCUGAAUUGUUAAUCAUUAAUGAGAGGCAUCAAACAGGAAGCUCAAGAAGGGUUCCUUUCCAAAUGGCUUUUGGAAAAAUGUAAAGAACCUCACGUCGUUGGACUGUGGAAUUCAUCCAGCCUCUGCAGCCCCUCCUGCCUUAGGCAGCUGUGAGCUUGGCAACCUCCCUCCCUUCAGGCAUCCCCCAGCACCCGGAGACAUCCGCUGUCUCUGACA